RNAcentral lists this long non-coding RNA (448 nucleotides) under Mytilus galloprovincialis (Mediterranean mussel). The record is from RNAcentral. Lineage: Eukaryota; Metazoa; Mollusca; Bivalvia; Mytilida; Mytilidae.
GUUAGUAUUCCAAUGCGCUAACCGCUACACCACGGCUCUCGUUAAUUUCUAUAUUUUAUUUGUGUUGCCCUAUAUUCUUUAUUCUUUAUAUUUUAGCACUCCAGUGUUCUCUUUUUUUUGUGUCUGUAUUUCUCUCAAUCUUAUUAGAAUAACACGGCGACAUAUAAAAAAUCGAGGAGCAAGUGAUGAGAACUUAUUUUAAUAAGAUUGUAUUUCUCUACUCAUCAUGUUUUGCCCUUUAUUUAUUUUUUUGCUUAUUUUUUAUUCUCAAUAUUCUGUAAACCCCACCCCAUCGAGACACUCUUGUUUAUAACGUAAAAUAUAAUUAAACUCUACCAUAUACCACUUUAGGUGUAAACUUUUGGUUUAUGAUACAUAUGACCAAUCGAUAAGUAAUUAUGGUAGUAUUUGUGUUAAAAGUUUCUUUCUACUAACUAGAUAUAAUAUA